GGCCACGUGGCGGAGUGGUUACGCAGCGGACUGCAAAUCCGUGUACUCCGGUUCGAUUCCGGACGUGGCCUCCA
Molecule: transfer RNA, 74 nt
Filed under: Hyphomicrobiaceae bacterium
Lineage: Bacteria; Pseudomonadati; Pseudomonadota; Alphaproteobacteria; Hyphomicrobiales; Hyphomicrobiaceae
Also listed under: 2 other names
Description: tRNA-Cys
Rfam family: tRNA
About the family: Transfer RNA (tRNA) molecules are approximately 80 nucleotides in length. Their secondary structure includes four short double-helical elements and three loops (D, anti-codon, and T loops).
Source: RNAcentral